UUGGCGGACGGGUGAGUAACGCGUGGGUAACCUGCCUUACACAGGGGGAGUAACACUUAGAAAUAGGUGCUAAUACCGCAUAAGCGCACAGUCCCGCAUGGGACAGAGUGAAAAACAUUAGUGGUGUAAGAUGGACCCGCGUCUGAUUAGCUUGUUGGCGGGGUAACGGCCCACCAAGGCGACGAUCAGUAGCCGGCCUGAGAGGGUGGACGGCCACAUUGGGACUGAGACACGGCCCAAACUCCUACGGGAGGCAGCAG
RNAcentral lists this ribosomal RNA (260 nucleotides) under uncultured bacterium. RNAcentral's name for it is "partial 16S ribosomal RNA". It matches the Rfam family "Bacterial small subunit ribosomal RNA", at positions 95 to 354 of the family's 1533-position model. The record is from RNAcentral.